This is a non-coding RNA of Drosophila melanogaster (fruit fly), 1549 nucleotides long. NCBI's taxonomy places the organism in Eukaryota, Metazoa, Arthropoda, Insecta, Diptera, Drosophilidae. The record is from Ensembl.
AAGCUGUUAACUAGGCAGAAAGCGAAACAGUUCACCGGCUUCCAUUGGCAAAAGGCGAUGGAUGAUGAGUGAACGGCCGGGGGAAGCUGACAAAGCAAUUUGCAGGCGAGAAAGGUGAUUUUCAAAUUGGUUCAUUGUGCCUUGGGGUCUCUUCGCAGCCUUAUUGAAAUCGAAUUGAAUUGAAUGGAAUGAAAUUGAUUUAUUUGUUUGUUUGCCUGUUUGUUGGCUGGCGCGAAAUUUGCAUAUAAGUGCGAUAUAAUUGAUUAGAAAGUGUGUGUGUGAGAAAGAGCCUAUCGAUAGGAGGAGUUAUUGGUUUAUAUGUACAUACAUAGGAUGGAUCCACGCACUUUCGCUGGAAAGGCAAAUGCGGGCCAGAAAACCGCUUUGAAUGUGCAUAUUUUUCAAAGAAUUUUCCUGGCCGUGCCGGCAAAUCGCUAUUAAAGGCAGCGGCGAGAGGCCUCCAAUGAUGGGGAAAAACUUGAAGUGAAAUAAAAAGCGGACGGGCCGAGAAGCACAGCUGUCAGGCCGGGCGGGCACUCGAAAUAAUUUUCGUGGAAAUGUAUCAACAAGAAGAAAAAUGCCGGGCAGAACGAGACCUUCCACCAUUUCAGCCCAUCAUCAUCUCUCUGGCACACCACGCAAAGUUCUGUUCUUUUGUUUGAAGGCCGGCAAUGGAAGAAACUCAUAAGAAAAACGGGACGAGUCUGGGCGGCAUAAUUUCGGCAACUGUCUAAAGUAAAGUGGAAAGCGACUUGUCACUUGCCUUUCUUAUGAAAUACGUCAGCGCGAGUUGGAAAAACGCGGCCCCAAUGAGCGUAGAAGCUGGAAAAACUUCAAGUGGUCUGUCAGCAACAUUUCAAACAAAGCGUCGGCGAUCCAGCAACACUAAAAAACACUAGAAACACCAGCAAAACCAACUGAAACAGUCCUCGUCGGUGACAGCAACGAGAUAAUACACUGGAAAAUAAAUAGUGCACUUCGCAAAAUGAUUUUUGCAAAUGUUGUUAAAAUUAUGUCGUUAUUGUUUUUAUUUUAUUAUUAUGUUCUAACAUAUCAAACUAUAGUCUAAAAUGUCCAAUAAAAUAUACCUUUAUUAUAUAGGUGGGUAUUUUUUCCACUGUAGGAAACUAAAACGAAACUUGUUUGCAUCCUCUAACGACGCUGUGCAUUUUGUUCACACUCACACUCAGUCACAUUUGUCAGCCAUUGAGGAGCCGAUGUGGCACUGCCUCAAAGCUUUUCCCCCCAGGAAACCCGUGUGGCAUACAGAACAGUUCGACAUUUCAGCUGGCAGGCAGAGUGCAGAAUGCUGAAUGCAGAAUGCCGAAUGCAGAUGGAGAUGGAGAUGCAUUGCAGUGGGAGCAGGCCCCAACAAGCUCGUAAAGCACAAUGAAUGCUGGAUGGGAUUCGCAGAGACAAAGCCAGCAGUUUGGUAGGGGAAUGCAUAAUAAGUCUUGCAAAUCUUGAGGUGGAAAAUCUCGUUAAGUACGGAUAUAUGUCACCGAGGCUAUGAGCCACGUGAGUCUUGUGAAAGUAUAGAAAUCUGCAC